UCCGAGUUGACCCCGGCAGUCUCCUACGAGUCCCCGGCAUAACCCGCUGGCAACAUAGGACAAGGGUUGCGCUCGUUGCGGGACUUAACCCAACAUCUCACGACACGAGCUGACGACAGCCAUGCACCACCUGUGCAGGGCCCCGAAGGACACCGUAUCUCUACGGCUUUUCCCUGCAUGUCAAGCCUUGGUAAGGUUCUUCGCGUUGCAUCGAAUUAAGCAACAUGCUCCGCCGCUUGUGCGGGCCCCCGUCAAUUCCUUUGAGUUUCGGUCUUGCGACCGUACUCCCCAGGCGGAGUGUUUCACGCGUUAGCUGGGCCCCUGAUCGGUAUAUCGCCAACAGCUAGUGAUCAUCGUUUACGGCGUGGACUAC
Molecule: unclassified non-coding RNA, 373 nt
Filed under: uncultured Acidimicrobiia bacterium
Lineage: Bacteria; Bacillati; Actinomycetota; Acidimicrobiia
Description: contains 16S-23S intergenic spacer region
Source: RNAcentral